RNAcentral lists this ribosomal RNA (451 nucleotides) under uncultured bacterium. RNAcentral's name for it is "partial 16S ribosomal RNA". It matches the Rfam family "Bacterial small subunit ribosomal RNA", at positions 328 to 793 of the family's 1533-position model. The record is from RNAcentral.
UUUCCAGACUCCUACGGGAGGCAGCAGUGGGGAAUAUUGGGCAAUGGGCGCAAGCCUGACCCAGCAACGCCGCGUGAAGGAAGAAGGCUUUCGGGUUGUAAACUUCUUUUAAGAGGGAAGAGUAGAAGACGGUACCUCUUGAAUAAGCCACGGCUAACUACGUGCCAGCAGCCGCGGUAAUACGUAUGGAGCAAGCGUUAUCCGGAUUUACUGGGUGUAAAGGGAGCGCAGGCGGCCUUGCAAGUCUGAUGUGAAAGGCCGGGGCCCAACCCCGGGACUGCAUUGGAAACUGCGAGGCUGGAGUGUCGGAGAGGCAGGCGGAAUUCCUAGUGUAGCGGUGAAAUGCGUAGAUAUUAGGAGGAACACCAGUGGCGAAGGCGGCUUACUGGACAGUAACUGACGUUGAGGCUCGAAAGCGUGGGGAGCAAACAGGAUUAGAUACCCCGGUACG